RNAcentral lists this long non-coding RNA (1573 nucleotides) under Oryctolagus cuniculus (rabbit). Its description in RNAcentral is "lncRNA (ENSOCUG00000037537.1)". The record is from RNAcentral. Lineage: Eukaryota; Metazoa; Chordata; Mammalia; Lagomorpha; Leporidae.
AUGACGGCUCACACAGAAGUUGUUCCACUGCUGUCUGGAACCAGAGACAAUAACAUGAUAUCAGCUCACUACAUACCAUGCCUGGAUUAUAGUACCAGAAGAAGAAGAGAGAAAAAAAAGAACCAUGGACAUGGAAUCGUGAAAGGUAAAGAAACACCGACUCUCCAAGCUCCCUUGCUGUAUUUAUGUCUUAAGAAUUGUAUCUUUAGUUUCAAAUUAAAAAUGAGUUGUCAGCUUCCCUUAAUAAUUAAUGUUGAAAUGAACAACUGUUUUAAGUACAACACAUUCCAUUUAAUGUUAAACAGUGUUAUAUUUACUGCAAUUCCACCUUUCAUCCUAAUGUCAGCCUUUAAAUCUUUAAUGCUUUAAUCACACUCCUUUUUCUGAUAUCCCUUGUGAGUUCCUCAAACCAUUGCCCACUCCUUCGUGAUAAGGUGGACAUUUUUUGCUGCAAGGGUUAGUCAGCAGCAAUUGUUAAUUAUUAAGGAAAACAAAAUGCAGCUGCUGGAAAAUUGUGUUUGUUCCCAGCAGGGCAUGUUACCUUUAAUCUCUGCUGACACUCAGGCAAGUGAAGUCAUAAAAGGGAGAUAAUGCAUUUCAAGAACAUGGCCCCAUAGAAAAUUAAAGAAUUUCCUAUAAAAUUAAUGACCCUAAUUACCAGAUGAUGCCUGCAUUUGCCUUUCAGGAAGUUAUCCACCUUUCUGAUAGAGAGCCUGGAAGAGGGGAAGCAACAGCGUGGAGCCCUAAGGAGCUGCCUUACUGCAGGCUGCGUGGAGUCAGAAGCAGCAGAAAGUCAAACCAUGUUCCGCAGGAGCUUCAUUCCUCCUGGAAAGCCAGGAGAAGAGAAACGAGCUAUCGUUUGUUAAGAAGGGACUAUGCAUAAGACAAUGUUUGGGGUUUGGGCCACUGCUUCACUAUGCGAGCCUUACUUUGCUUAUGUUAGACAAAGGCUAUUUAAAGGGUUGACUUCAGAUAUUUUAGAGUUCUUAAAAAAAUCCUUCAUUAAAUAUUGUCACAUAGAAUUGGACCUCCAUAUCUACGGGUUCCUCAUUCAUGAAUUUAACCAGCCAUAGAUAGAAAAUGACUAUUUUUUUUAAAUUGUGUUGUUCUAAACAUGUCAAAGUUUUUUGGUGUCAUUAUUCCCUAAGCAAUAUACUAUAAUAACUUUUUAUAUAGUAUUUAUUUUGUAUUCUACAUAAUAAGUAAUCUAGACAUGAUAUAAAAUAUAUGGGGAGGGCUGGUGCUGCAGCUCACUUGGUUAAUCCUCCGCGUGCAGUGCUGGCAUCCCAUAUGGGCACUGGGUUCUAGUCCCCGUUGCUCCUCUUCCAGUCCAGCUCUCUGCUGUGGCCCAGGAAGGGAGUGGAGGAUGGCCCAAGUGUUUGGGUCCCUGCACCUGUGUGGGAGACCAGAAGGAAGCACCUUGCUCCUGGCUUUGGAUUGGAGUAGCUCCUGCCGUGGCGGCCAUUUGGGGGGUGAACCAACGGAAGGAAGACCUUUCUCUGUCUCUCUCUCUCACUGUCUAACUCUGCCUGUCAAAAAUAAAAUAAAAUAAAAUGAAAUAAAAUAAUAAAAU